This 428-nucleotide ribosomal RNA is filed under the name uncultured bacterium. Its description in RNAcentral is "bacterial SSU rRNA". It matches the Rfam family "Bacterial small subunit ribosomal RNA", at positions 354 to 796 of the family's 1533-position model. The record is from RNAcentral.
GUCGAGAAUCUUCCGCAAUGCGCGAAAGCGUGACGGAGCGACACCGCGUGAUGGAUGAAGUCCUUCGGGGCGUAAACAUCUUUUAUAAAGGAGGAAAUUUUUGACGUUACUUUAUGAAUAAGGGGCUCCCAAUCUCGUGCCAGCAGGAGCGGUAAUACGAGAGCCUCAAGCGUUAUCCGGAAUCAUUGGGCGUAAAGGGUGCGUAGGUGGUUUGAUUAGUCUCCCGUUAAAACUUCGAGCUUAACUCGAAAAGAGCGGGGGAAACGGUCAAACUAGAGUAUGUGAGAGGUGUGUGGAACUCAUGGUGUAGGGGUGAAAUCCGUUGAUAUCAUGGGGAACACCAAAAGCGAAGGCAGCACACUGGCACAUCACUGACACUGAGGCACGAAACCUAAGGUAGCGAAUGGGAUUAGAUACCCUGGUAGUCC